CUUGUUUCCUUCAUUUUUUGUAAUUUUUUUUUUCUUCGAUUUUUUUUUUUUUUGGUAUGGCGGUGCCAAAACGUGCAGAAUGAAUGAAUGACGCGUAAGUAAAAACAAAUUUUGAGUUCUGGAAUUUUUUUUUUGCUUUGUAUAAUACUUGGAUUCAUCACACAAAAA
Molecule: non-coding RNA, 168 nt
Filed under: Ditylum brightwellii
Lineage: Eukaryota; Bacillariophyta; Thalassiosirophyceae; Lithodesmiales; Lithodesmiaceae
Source: RNAcentral